RNAcentral lists this ribosomal RNA (446 nucleotides) under uncultured bacterium. RNAcentral describes it as "partial 16S ribosomal RNA". It matches the Rfam family "Bacterial small subunit ribosomal RNA", at positions 338 to 795 of the family's 1533-position model. The record is from RNAcentral.
CCUACGGUGAGCAGCAGUCGAGAAUCAUUCACAAUGGGGGAAACCCUGAUGGUGCGACGCCGCGUGGGGGAAUGAAGGUCUUCGGAUUGUAAACCCCUGUCAUGUGGGAGCAAAUUAAAAAGAUAGUACCACAAGAGGAAGAGACGGCUAACUCUGUGACAGCAGCCGCGGUAAUACAGAGGUCUCAAGCGUUGUUCGGAAUCACUGGGCGUAAGGCGUGGGUAGGCUGUUGCGUAAGUAGUGUGUGAAAGGCGCGGGCUCAACCCGCGGACGGCACAUGAUAUUGCGAGACUAGAGAGAUGGAGGGGGAACCGGAAUUCUCGGUGUAGCAGUGACAUGCGUAGAUAUCGAGAGGAACGCUCGUGGCGAAGGCGGGUUCCUGGACAUUAACUGACGCUGUGGCACGAAGGCCAGGGGAGCGAAAGGGAUUAGAUACCCGUGUAGUC